AUCAAUCAAAUGCAUCUUUGCUCUCCAAUUUAGAGAGAAGGAUGUUGUGGGGGACCGUCUCAAAGGCCUUACAGAUGUCCAGAUAGAUCACAUCUGUAGCCCUUCCCGUGUCCACUGAUGUAGUCCCUCCAUCAUAGAAGGCCACUAGGUUGGU
Molecule: long non-coding RNA, 154 nt
Organism: Pygoscelis adeliae (Adelie penguin)
Lineage: Eukaryota; Metazoa; Chordata; Aves; Sphenisciformes; Spheniscidae
Exons: 3
Source: RefSeq, a predicted model, not a curated record